This 74-nucleotide transfer RNA is filed under the name Fretibacterium fastidiosum. Its description in RNAcentral is "Synergistetes bacterium SGP1 tRNA". It matches the Rfam family "tRNA". From Rfam's summary of the family: Transfer RNA (tRNA) molecules are approximately 80 nucleotides in length. Their secondary structure includes four short double-helical elements and three loops (D, anti-codon, and T loops). Further hydrogen bonds mediate the characteristic L-shaped molecular structure. tRNAs have two regions of fundamental functional importance: the anti-codon, which is responsible for specific mRNA codon recognition, and the 3' end, to which the tRNAs corresponding amino acid is attached (by aminoacyl-tRNA synthetases). tRNAs cope with the degeneracy of the genetic code in two manners: having more than one tRNA (with a specific anti-codon) for a particular amino acid; and 'wobble' base-pairing, i.e. permitting non-standard base-pairing at the 3rd anti-codon position. Lineage: Bacteria; Thermotogati; Synergistota; Synergistia; Synergistales; Aminobacteriaceae. RNAcentral also lists the same sequence under 1 other name. The record is from Rfam by way of RNAcentral.
GCGCUUGUAGCUCAGCUGGAUAGAGCAACGGCCUUCUAAGCCGUAGGUCGCGGGUUCGAAUCCUGCCGGGCGCG